RNAcentral lists this transfer RNA (72 nucleotides) under Bos taurus (domestic cattle). It matches the Rfam family "tRNA". Rfam says of the family: Transfer RNA (tRNA) molecules are approximately 80 nucleotides in length. The record is from Rfam by way of RNAcentral. Lineage: Eukaryota; Metazoa; Chordata; Mammalia; Artiodactyla; Bovidae. RNAcentral also lists the same sequence under 4 other names.
UCCCUGAUGGCUCAGACAGUAAAGUAUCUGCCUGCAAGGCAGGAGACCUGGGUUCAAUCCCUGGGUGGAGAA